RNAcentral lists this ribosomal RNA (601 nucleotides) under uncultured archaeon. Its description in RNAcentral is "bacterial SSU rRNA". It matches the Rfam family "Archaeal small subunit ribosomal RNA", at positions 76 to 663 of the family's 1478-position model. The record is from RNAcentral.
UGGCGGCGAACGGCUCAGUAACACGUAGUCAAUCUGCCCUCGGGAUGAGAACAAUCUCGGGAAACUGAGGCUAAUUCUCAAUAUCUCAAGAUUCCUGGAAUGGGUUUUGGUUUAAAUGAAAUGACAGCAUCUUGUUAUUUUGCCCGAGGAUGAGACUGCGGCCGAUCAGGCUGUUGGUGGGGUAAAGGCCCACCAAACCAGUAACCGGUACGGGCUUUGAGAGAAGGAGCCCGGAGAUGGACACUGAGACAAGGGUCCAGGUCCUACGGGGCGCAGCAGGCGCGAAACCUUCGCAAUGUGCGAAAGCACGACGAGGUUAUUCCGAGUGAUUUCCGCUGAGGAAAUCUUUUCUCAGAUCUAAAAUGUCUGGGGAAUAAGGGGAGGGCAAGUCUGGUGUCAGCCGCCGCGGUAAUACCAGCUCCUCGAGUGGUCAGGGCGUUUAUUGGGCCUAAAGCAUCCGUAGCCGGCUCAGUUGGUCUCCUGUUAAAUCCAACGGCUCAACCGUUGGUCUGCAGGAGAUACCGCUGGGCUAGGAGGCGGGAGAGGCGGACGGUACUCCGAGGGUAGGGGUAAAAUCCUUUGAUCCCCGGAAGACCACCAG